CCCAUUGCUGAGUUGGUAGAAGAACAAGGCUCUUAACCUGGUGGACAUGGGUUCAAGCCCCAUGAUGGGG
Molecule: non-coding RNA, 70 nt
Organism: Triticum aestivum (bread wheat)
Lineage: Eukaryota; Viridiplantae; Streptophyta; Magnoliopsida; Poales; Poaceae
Source: Rfam